RNAcentral lists this long non-coding RNA (301 nucleotides) under Olea europaea (common olive). RNAcentral describes it as "long non-coding RNA (OEUR_LNC012434)". Lineage: Eukaryota; Viridiplantae; Streptophyta; Magnoliopsida; Lamiales; Oleaceae. The record is from RNAcentral.
ACAGAAAUGACACAAUGAACUCUGCUAACAGUGUACAGAAAUGAGAAAUAUUAAUCUGCUGCUAAGGUCAUGAGAUUGAAAAUGAAUAUACUGCUGAAAGCAUGGGAUUGAUUGGAAUUCUUUCAUGAUUUGCAAAAUCCGCCAUGGUAGUUGAGUUCAUAGAAUUUGCUUCAUGCAGUAAGCAAGCGAAAUGGCUUAGGAAUUCAUCAAGGGAGAUUCCUAUUUGGCUUAAAUCGAUGCCACAAGUUUCCAUCCAUUGUGAUAUGAAGCAUCUUUGUCUAAUGCUUGUAUUCAUGUCUAU